UGCCCUUCCCCCAUUUCGGGGUUGUAUACUCCACUCACUCUUUCUCAAGGUGAACACACAGUUAGCUUUCAUCGCUUUUCAUCGUUUCUCAUUAUUUUUGUAUCUCGUGUGCAUCACACAAUCGAAGGUUUCUCAAGGGAGGUAUGGAUUAUUAUCCAUCACGAGCACUGACCUUGCUCUGAUACCAACUGUCACGGGUCCACUUCCUAGCUC
RNAcentral lists this unclassified non-coding RNA (213 nucleotides) under Hevea brasiliensis (rubber tree). Lineage: Eukaryota; Viridiplantae; Streptophyta; Magnoliopsida; Malpighiales; Euphorbiaceae. The record is from RNAcentral.